AACGCGAAGAACCUUACCUAAGCUUGACAUCCUUUUGACCGAUGCCUAAUCGCAUCCUUCCCUUCGGGGACAAAAGUGACAGGUGGUGCAUGGUUGUCGUCAGCUCAUGUCGUGAGAUGUUGGGUUAAGUCCCGCAACGAGCGCAACCCUUGCCUUUAGUUGCCAUCAUUAAGUUGGGCACUCUAGUGAGACUGCCGGGGAUAACUCGGAGGAAGGUGGGGAUGACGUCAAAUCAUCAUGCCCCUUAUGCUUAGGGCUACACACGUGCUACAAUGGGUGGUACAGAGGGCAGCCAAGUCGUGAGGCCGAGCUAAUCCCUUAAAGCCAUUCUCAGUUCGGAUUGUAGGCUGAAACUCGCCUACAUGAAGCUGGAGUUACUAGUAAUCGCAGAUCAGAAUGCUGCGGUGAAUGCGUUCCCGGGUCUUGUACACACCG
Molecule: ribosomal RNA, 435 nt
Filed under: uncultured Terrisporobacter sp.
Lineage: Bacteria; Bacillati; Bacillota; Clostridia; Peptostreptococcales; Peptostreptococcaceae
Description: bacterial SSU rRNA
Rfam family: Bacterial small subunit ribosomal RNA
Source: RNAcentral